AUUGAACGCUAGCGGCAUGCUUAACACAUGCAAGUCGAACGAGUGGCGGACGGGUGAGUAAUAUAUCGGAACCUGCCCGGUAGUGGGGGAUAACUACUGGAAACAGAGCUAAUACCGCAUACUAUUGGAUCGGCCCAUAUCGGAUUGGCUAGGGGGUGGGGUAAAGGCGCACCAAGUCCACGAUCCCUAGCUGGUCUGGGAGGAGGACCAGCCACACGGGAACUGAGACAAGGCCCAGACGCCUACGUGAGGAAGCAGUGGGGAAUUUUGGACAAUGGGGGAAAGCCUGAUCCAGCAAUGCGGCGUGGAUGAUGAAGGCCUGAGGGUUGUAAGGUACUAUUGUCGGGGAAGCGGUAUCUGCAGAAGAAGCACCGGCUAACUACGUGCCAGCAGCCGCGGUAAUAC
RNAcentral lists this ribosomal RNA (405 nucleotides) under uncultured bacterium. RNAcentral describes it as "partial 16S ribosomal RNA". It matches the Rfam family "Bacterial small subunit ribosomal RNA", at positions 30 to 526 of the family's 1533-position model. The record is from RNAcentral.